Molecule: long non-coding RNA, 557 nt
Filed under: Equus caballus (horse)
Lineage: Eukaryota; Metazoa; Chordata; Mammalia; Perissodactyla; Equidae
Description: lncRNA (ENSECAG00000049901.1)
Source: RNAcentral
AGGUUCUCAGGAUUAGAUGCAGACAUUUUUGGAGGGCCAUUACUCUGCCUACCCCACUCCUUAAAGACUAUCGAGAAUGGUUUGACUUAAUAAACUGUGGUAUAAUUUUGUAAUUAAUUUCCUGGCAACCAUUAGUAACAAAAAGGUUUAUGACAUGGGAAGAUUGAUACGAUAAAAGGCUGUGUAACAUGAACUCCGUCGUCUCCAACUCCUGGAUUUCUUCCAGGUAGUCAGAUCAAUAAGAAAGACAGCAUGGCUUGCCAAGCGGUGCCAUGUCCGCACCUGGAUCCGAACCAGCAAACCCCGGGCCGCCGAAGCAGAACAUGCACACUUAACCACUAUGCCACCAGGCUGGCCCCUCACAGACCUGUGGUGCUGGGCCACAACUGAGCUGCUGCAUUGGCAUAACUGAUACCUAAGUCAGCGUUAAUAGCAACAUCCACAUAACACCAAAUCUCCAAGAACUCAUUGUAUGGGUCAUCGCUGUGUGCUCUGGAGAAUUCAACCUUCCUGAACUAUACACUUUCUUGACCUUUGAGUGAAAAUAAUCUUUCUAC